AUCAUUCUGCUCCUGAGUGGCUCUCUUGUGGGCUUGCUGGCAGGAUAUGGCAGCAUCUUCGGUUGUGCGUCAAGAAUUCUGCAUACAGUAGCACGUUUGUAUGAAGAAAGUCAAAGCGGACACAUACAAAGAUGGCAUCUUAGAGAGCGAGCUGACCGAAUGUAGAUAUUGCCAGAUAUUCACUGUCCGAGGAACAGGCUGUGGAAACUUUAUAUUGCUGGAAAAAGUGUCCAUAACCCGAGCCAAGUCAUGAUUUCCCUGGGGGUUAGCCUUGCAAUAACCAAGCGGUUAUAUCAGUUGUUUUGGUGAACCCUUCCCACAUCUGAACUGGCUGACACAGAGGGCACAGCAUGAUCAUAGGUACGUUUUGAUGUGAGAGGAAGCCAGUCCCGUCAUCGCCAUCUCACCUGCUCUUAAGAACCUUCGGGCCAACUGGGCGCACAAGGCUGGUUAGGAGACACCACAAUUGUGAUGAACUGAGAGAAUAUUAGGGUAGCACUGUAAUUCAUGAAUCAUAUGCUGUCUGCCGCUGUUCUUACCUCUUUCCCUUUCUGUCUUCUACACCUCUCUCCCCACCUCAUCUUUCUUCCUUGUUUUAUAAUGCACACCAUAUGUGCAUUGAAGUACAGAUUGAACUUGUAUUUAUAAUAUUAUAAUUAUAAUGCAUUUAUGUAUUUAUAACACCUGGAUAAUGAAC
This 697-nucleotide long non-coding RNA is filed under the name Salmo salar (Atlantic salmon). Its description in RNAcentral is "lncRNA (ENSSSAG00000088054.1)". The record is from RNAcentral. Lineage: Eukaryota; Metazoa; Chordata; Actinopteri; Salmoniformes; Salmonidae.